RNAcentral lists this ribosomal RNA (253 nucleotides) under uncultured bacterium. Its description in RNAcentral is "partial 16S ribosomal RNA". It matches the Rfam family "Bacterial small subunit ribosomal RNA", at positions 524 to 776 of the family's 1533-position model. The record is from RNAcentral.
UACGAAGGGGGCGAGCGUUGUUCGGAUUUACUGGGCGUAAAGGGCGCGCAGGCGGCUCAUUUUGUCAGGCGUGAAAGCCCCGGGCUUAACCUGGGAACUGCGUUUGAUACGGAUGGGCUAGAGUUCGGGAGAGGAGAGUGGAAUUCCCAGUGUAGAGGUGAAAUUCGUAGAUAUUGGGAAGAACACCGGUGGCGAAGGCGGCUCUCUGGACCGAGACUGACGCUGAGGCGCGAAAGCGUGGGGAGCGAACAGG